CAGAUCUCUGCUUCUCUCCAUCUGUUGGACUCAUUCUUUCCUCACAUAGCAGAGCUUUAUUCACACUGCAGGAGACGUGGCAUGGGCAGCUCCAGGCUUCAUCAACCUAGAUUUGCAACUCCCAAGGAAACAAAGAUUUCUCUCUCCUAGCACUCAGAGACAGUCUUGAUAAGGGGCGGGAGGAACGGACGCAACAAGGAGAAAGGAAGCAACGGAAGGUCUUCGGCUGCUAAAAAAUGUAACUGACAAAGAGUCCAGGGCUGUUUGUAUUUUUCUUCCUCUGUGUCUCAUAUUAAACACUUUGGGUCUGAUGACUGAGUUUCUCCAGCCGA
Molecule: long non-coding RNA, 332 nt
Filed under: Homo sapiens (human)
Lineage: Eukaryota; Metazoa; Chordata; Mammalia; Primates; Hominidae
Description: HSALNT0330540
Source: RNAcentral